UGUAAGAGUGAAAAGAAUAAAAACAAUAAUUUGAAAACGGGGUUUCGAACUUCUCCUUCUCACUCUUACAAAAAUAAAAUGUUUUGUGAACCGGUCAACAACUUCGCGAAAAUUAGGCCUCCGAUUCAGUCGCGAGUGUUAAAACGGUUGCAGUGCGAACUGUUCGGAGAAAGCGGUCCUCAAGGUCCAGGAUGUGCUGUACAACAUCGAGACGCUUUUUCGGUUGCACCAUUCGAAACUGAAACCAUAAACCAACUUGUUCACCUCGCUUUUAGUUGGAUGCAGCAGAAGCAGACGAACCUGUAGAACAUAGCCGGCAUCAUCCGGCCGAUCACGCAAUCGGUAACACCUCUAAUUGCGCCAGCCAUCGGUCAUCAUCCGAACCCACCGCAGCAGCAAAUACCGUUCCUGGCGGCGGAUGCUAUCUCGCCGGCGUCACUGACGCGGUGGCCCAGUAGCAGCAGUUUCUGCAGAGCCUGAUGAAGAAGCUUAUUACGCUGGCGGCAAUCCUAACGCCCAACGCAGCGACCUCACUAUAGACCGCAGGAACCGAUGCCACCAAUCUGACGCCAUACGCCACCCUGCCCCAGUUUGCCUCGGCGGCAGCAGCAGCAUUCAUCACAACGCAUUUACAUAAUCCUAUGAUGGCACAAGCAGUGGCUGCGGCCGCUGGGAAGCAGAUCAAAGAUCCCGUUCGGCAUCGUGGUGUCCGCCAAGGUGUUCAUCGACAAGCAAACCAACCUGUCCAAGUGCUUCGACUUUGUGCCGUUCGACAAUAUGGCCUCGGCGCAGGCCGCCAUCCAGGCGAUGCACGGUUUCCAGAUCGGCACCAAGCGGCUGAAAGCGUAGUUGAAGCGUUCGAAGGACGUCACUGACGCGGAAGGAAAGGAUUCGUUUUCUUCAGGCAACCAUACGAGAGGUCGCCUCUAAGGUAGGAAGGCCUUGAUGCUUGAGACAAAACCACAUUUUGUCGGAUGGAUAAUUCUACCGGAAGGCAAGCUGCCGUAGGUCAUCUUGAUUUCAGACGGGUCUGAUGAAUACGAGGGAAAUAAUUUACAGCACGAAGCUACGAAAAGAAUUUCUGUAUUUUCGAUCCAUCCCGGAUUCCUUAGAGCUGCUCCAAAGCCUGAAUAGAUCCAGAACUGGCUGUUGGCCUUCGUUUUAUGCUGCUCAGGAUGAUACCAGUGGAAGUAAUCGAACAGAUCGUGAAAACAGUUCCGAUUUCCUGGUGGAGAAGGAACUCUCCCAAAAUAAUCUUGUCCGAUUCGCUAGAGAUUUCGGAGUAGCAGCACAAAUAUCCUUCCGUCUGACUUUGUAACCCGAUCGAUUGCUUCAAUGGCAAUUAUUGUAUGUAUUAUUUCUUUUUAGAUUAAUAAAAAUACGUAAUGCUACGUUUUGACAGGGCAAGUGAAUUGAACAACUCAGUUGAAUUCAAUUGACUUGCCAAAAGUUGAACAUGUUCAACUUUCUUUUCGUUCAAGUGAAUUGAAUUAAGGUGUUUACACGUUCAGUUCGCGUUCGAUUCAAGCGAAUUGCUCAAUUCACUUGCCUUGUCUAAACGUAGCAUAAAGCUUCUGCUUCC
Armigeres subalbatus is the source of this 1582-nucleotide long non-coding RNA. RefSeq lists it as uncharacterized. NCBI's taxonomy places the organism in Eukaryota, Metazoa, Arthropoda, Insecta, Diptera, Culicidae. The record is from RefSeq and is a predicted model, not a curated record. The transcript has 3 exons.